This 1413-nucleotide ribosomal RNA is filed under the name metagenome. Its description in RNAcentral is "bacterial LSU rRNA". It matches the Rfam family "Bacterial large subunit ribosomal RNA", at positions 1521 to 2925 of the family's 2925-position model. The record is from RNAcentral.
UAGGGAGUGAGGUAGGCAAAUCCGCCUCACACAUAUCCUGAGACCUGAUAGUGACCGCGUAUGCGGGAAGCAGGGUGAUCCUAUGCUGCCAAGAAAAUCCUCUAGCGAGGUUCUAGCCGCCCGUACCCCAAACCGACUCAGGUGGUUAGGUAGAGAAUACCAAGGCGAUCGAGUGAAUCGUAGUUAAGGAAUUCGGCAAAAUGCCCCCGUAACUUCGGGAGAAGGGGGGCCCGGAUUCUGAAGUCCAUACGGACUAGGAUGAUGGGCCGCAGAGACCAGGGAGAAGCGACUGUUUACUAAAAACACAGGUCCGUGCGAAGUUGCAAAACGAUGUAUACGGACUGACGCCUGCCCGGUGCUGGAAGGUUAAGAGGACGGGUUAGACGCAAGUCGAAGCUCAGAAUUUAAGCCCCAGUAAACGGCGGUGGUAACUAUAACCAUCCUAAGGUAGCGAAAUUCCUUGUCGGGUAAGUUCCGACCUGCACGAAUGGCGUAACGACUUCUCCACUGUCUCAACUGCGAACUCGGCGAAAUUGCAUUACGAGUAAAGAUGCUCGUUACGCGCAGCAGGACGGAAAGACCCCGGGACCUUUACUAUAGCUUGGUAUUGGUGUUCGGUACGGCUUGUGUAGGAUAGGUGGGAGACUAUGAAGCAUGCACGCCAGUGUGUGUGGAGUCAACGUUGAAAUACCACUCUGGUCGUUCUGGAUAUCUAACCUCGGUCCGUGAUCCGGAUCAGGGACAGUGCCUGGUGGGUAGUUUAACUGGGGCGGUUGCCUCCCAAAAUGUAACGGAGGCGCUCAAAGGUUCCCUCAAUCUGGUUGGCAAUCAGAUUUCGAGUGUAAGUGCACAAGGGAGCUUGACUGUGAGACUGACAGGUCGAACAGGGACGAAAGUCGGAACUAGUGACCCGACGGUGGCUCGUGGAAGCGCCGUCGCUCAACGGAUAAAAGGUACCCCGGGGAUAACAGGCUGAUCUUGCCCAAGAGUCCAUAUCGACGGCAUGGUUUGGCACCUCGAUGUCGGCUCGUCGCAUCCUGGGGGUGGAGUUGCUCCCAAGGGUUGGGCUGUUCGCCCAUUAAAGCGGUACGCGAGCUGGGUUUAGAACGUCGUGAGACAGUUCGGUCCCUAUCCGCUGCGCGCGCAGGAAACUUGAGAAAGGCUGUCCCUAGUACGAGAGGACCGGGAUGGACGAACCUCUGGUGUGUCAGUUGUCUUGCCAAGGGCACGGCUGAUUGGCUACGUUCGGAAGUGAUAACCGCUGAAAGCAUCUAAGCGGGAAGCACGUUUCAAGAUGAGGUCUCCAUGGGCGCAAGCCCGAGAGGCUCCCAGUAGACUACUGGGUUGAUAGGCCAGACGUGGAAGUGCAGCAAUGCAUGUAGCUGACUGGUACUAAUAGGCCGAUAACUUGAU